AGUGAACGCUGGCGGCAGGCCUAACACAUGCAAGUCGAGCGGCAGCGCGGGGGCAACCCUGGCGGCGAGCGGCGGACGGGUGAGGAAUUCGUCGGAAUCUGCCUUUUUGUGGGGGAUAACGUAGGGAAACUUACGCUAAUACCGCAUACGUCCUACGGGAGAAAGUGGGGGACCGCAAGGCCUCACGCAGAAAGAUGAGCCGACGACCGAUUAGCUAGUUGGUGGGGUAAAGGCCCGCCAAGGCGACGAUCGGUAGCUGGUCUGAGAGGAUGAUCAGCCACACUGGGACUGAGACACGGCCCAGACUCCUACGGGAGGCAGCAGUGGGGAAUAUUGGACAAUGGGCGCAAGCCUGAUCCAGCCAUGCCGCGUGUGUGAAGAAGGCCUUCGGGUUGUAAAGCACUUUUGUCCGGAAAGAAAUCCCUGGAGCUAAUACCUUCGGGGGAUGACGGUACCGGAAGAAUAAGCACCGGCUAACUUCGUG
This 484-nucleotide ribosomal RNA is filed under the name uncultured bacterium. Its description in RNAcentral is "partial 16S ribosomal RNA". It matches the Rfam family "Bacterial small subunit ribosomal RNA", at positions 29 to 507 of the family's 1533-position model. The record is from RNAcentral.